GUGGGGGACCUUCGGGCCUCAUGCCAUCAGAUGUGCCCAGAUGGGAUUAGCUAGUAGGUGGGGUAAGGGCUCACCUAGGCGACGAUCCCUAGCUGGUCUGAGAGGAUGACCAGCCACACUGGAAAUGAGACACGGUCCAGACUCCUACGGGAGGCAGCAGUGGGGAAUAUUGCACAAUGGGCGCAAGCCUGAUGCAGCCAUGCCGCGUGUAUGAAGAAGGCCUUCGGGUUGUAAAGUCAGCUAGGAUGAAUUGGCGUUAAGGUUAAUAACCUUGGCGAUUGACGUUACUCGCAGAAGAAGCACCGGCUAACUCCGUGCCAGCAGCCGCGGUAAUACGGAGGGUGCAAGCGUUAAUCGGAAUUACUGGGCGUAAAGCGCACGCAGGCGGUCUGUCAAGUCGGAUGUGAAAUGCCC
This 414-nucleotide ribosomal RNA is filed under the name uncultured bacterium. Its description in RNAcentral is "bacterial SSU rRNA". It matches the Rfam family "Bacterial small subunit ribosomal RNA", at positions 202 to 604 of the family's 1533-position model. The record is from RNAcentral.